GGGCGCGUAGCUCAGGGGGAGAGCGCUUGCUUCACAAGCAAGAGGUCCGAGGUUCAAAUCCUCGCGCGCCCA
RNAcentral lists this transfer RNA (72 nucleotides) under Pseudomonadota bacterium. Its description in RNAcentral is "tRNA-Val". It matches the Rfam family "tRNA". From Rfam's summary of the family: Transfer RNA (tRNA) molecules are approximately 80 nucleotides in length. Their secondary structure includes four short double-helical elements and three loops (D, anti-codon, and T loops). Lineage: Bacteria; Pseudomonadati; Pseudomonadota. RNAcentral also lists the same sequence under 4 other names. The record is from RNAcentral.